This is a non-coding RNA of Podarcis lilfordi (Lilford's wall lizard), 70 nucleotides long. Lineage: Eukaryota; Metazoa; Chordata; Lepidosauria; Squamata; Lacertidae. The record is from the annotation of a GenBank genome assembly.
GGAGAGUAGCUCAGAGGCAAAGCACCGGCUUUGAAUGCAGAAGGUCUGGGUUCAAUCCUCACCAUCUCCA